This 2415-nucleotide ribosomal RNA is filed under the name Gossypium barbadense (sea-island cotton). RNAcentral's name for it is "eukaryotic LSU rRNA". It matches the Rfam family "Eukaryotic large subunit ribosomal RNA", at positions 398 to 3401 of the family's 3401-position model. The record is from RNAcentral. Lineage: Eukaryota; Viridiplantae; Streptophyta; Magnoliopsida; Malvales; Malvaceae.
CUCAAAAAUGCCAAAAAGAGAAUCCAAGAGUCAUCAAUCACCAUCACAUGUAUCAUUACAAAGCUUCACACUUAGCAUGCAAAUGACAUCAACACAAAUCCACCUUAGCCGAAACUUAACUCAUCUUCAUGCCUCAUCACCACAACAUCAAACAUCAACCAAGAAGACAACACCCAUGGCCGAAUAUCAUCUCCAUCUCAUAGCAAAUAUUUAAACCAUGGGCUAGGUAGAACUCAAACUAACAACUAAAAACAUGCAUGAAUCUCAUGGACAACAUCAAACAUACCUUAGUCUAGCAAACCACCAUAGCCGAUUUUCUCAAGCUCUUCCCCCUUCUUCUCUUUCUUCUAUUCGGCCAAGAACAACCAAAGAAUGAAGCCUUUUUUUUUUCUUCUAGUUUCGGCAAAAAUGGGGGAGCAAGGAUGAAACAACUUUGGUUUCUCCUCCCACUCCCCACAUAUUUUAUUGUUCUUAACACAACAUGUUGUCAUAAACUUUUUAUAAUAUGUUUUACCCAUCACAAAUUGUCUAUCCACCUUGUCAUUGCCGGCCACUACUAUUUAAGGGGGAAAUUGACAUGCAAGUCCACCUUUAUGAUUAUAUGCACUAAUAGAUCUUUAUAGAUUAACCUAUCACAUUUCAAAAGGGUCACACAUAAGUCCUAUUAACUAAAUUCACGUGCAAUUAACUAAAUCGAAGCUUAAAACUUUCACACAUUCAUAUUUGCAUAUUUUAGACAAUAAAUAUCAUAUUCAAAUAAUUUGGUGACUCAGUUUAGUAGUCCCGAAACCGCUUUCCGACUAGGGUCACUUUAGGGCUGUCACAGUUAGGGAGUCCGAAAACGUCAGCCGGGGCCUCGAGAAGAUUUAUCUUUUUUGUUUAACGGCCUGCCCACCCUGGAAACGGCUCAGCCAUACGUAGGACGGAAAACCACCACAUGUGGUGUGGUGUCCGGUGUAGCCCCGGCGGCCCUUGAGAAUCUAGAGGACCGAGUGCCAUUCGCACCUGGUCAUAUUCAUAACCGUAUCAAGUCUCCAAUAUGAACAACCUUUGGUCAAUGGAACAAUGUAAGCAAGGGAAGUCGGCAAAAUGAAUAUGUAAACUCGGGAAAAGAAUUGGUUCUGAGGGUUGGGCACGGGGGUCCCAGUCCUGAACUCAUCGGCUGUUGGUGUAUUGCUUGAACUGCUCCCGCGAUACGAGGAGGUUACCGCAUGCCGGCCAGGGGACGGACUGAGAAUGGCUACUUCGGAAGCCUUCCCUGGGUGAUGAAUAGUUGACUCAGAAUUGGCAUGGACAAGGGGAAUCUGACUGUUUAAGUAAAACAAAGCCUUGCGGUGGUCCCUACUGAUGCUCACGCAAUGUGAUUUCUGCCCAGUGCUCUGAAUGUCAAAGUGAAGAAAUUCAAGCAAGCGUAGGCAAACGGAGGAAGUAACUAUGACUUUCUUAAGGUAGCCAAAUGCCUUGUCAUCUAAUUAGUGACACGCAUGAAUGGAUAAACGAGAUUCCCACUAUCCCUAUCUACUAUCCAGCAAAACAAUGGUCAAAGGAACGGGCUUGGUAGAAUCAGCGGAGAAAGAAGGCCCUGUUGAGCUUGACUCUAGUCCAACUUUGUGAAAUGACUUGAGAGGUGUAGGAUAAGUGGGAGCUCUUGGGCGAAAUUGAAAUACCACUACUUUUAACGCUAUUUUACUUAUUCGGUGAAUCGGAGGCGGGGCAUGGCCCCUCUUUUUGGACCCAAGGUCAGCUUCGGUUGGAUGAUCUGGGUAGAAGACAUUGUCAGGUGGGGAGUUUGGCUGGGACGGCACAUCUAUUAAAAGAUAACAAAGGUGUCCUAAGAUAAGCUCAACAAGAAUAAAAAUCUCGUAUGGAACGAAAGGGUGAAAGCUCGUUUGAUUUUGAUUUCCAGUAUGAAUACAAACCGUGAAAGCGUGGCUUAUCGAUCCUUUAGACAUUCAGAAUUUGAAGCUAGAGGUGUCAUAAAAGUUACCAUAGGGAUAAUUGGCUUGUGGAAGCCAAGCGCUCAGAGCGACGUUGCUUUUUUAUCUUUCGAUGUCGGCUCUUCCUAUCAUUGUGAACCAGAAUUCACUAAGUGUUGGAUUGUUCACCCACCAAUAGGGAACGUGAGCUGGGUUUAGACUGUCAAGAGAUAGGUUAGUUUUACCCUACUGAUGGCUGUGUUGCAGUAGUAAUUCAACCUAGAAAGAAGGUGGCCGCAGGGGAGUGAGUGCGUAUAUGAAUUAGUUCAAAGAAGUCAUGGACGACUUAGAUCUAGUGUAUAUUAAACCUGAUAGUGGAUGGUUUACCUGGGUUAAAAAUAGGAGCGAGUGGAGUUUGAUAAAGGAAAGAAUUGAUAGAUUCCUCACCUCGAUUUUAGUGGUUAAAAACUUCCUUUUUAUAGGUACCAAAGUGGUAAGA